This 841-nucleotide ribosomal RNA is filed under the name Thaxterogaster vespertinus. Its description in RNAcentral is "eukaryotic LSU rRNA". It matches the Rfam family "Eukaryotic large subunit ribosomal RNA", at positions 87 to 913 of the family's 3401-position model. Lineage: Eukaryota; Fungi; Basidiomycota; Agaricomycetes; Agaricales; Cortinariaceae. The record is from RNAcentral.
CUGCGAGUGAAGCGGGAAAAGCUCAAAUUUAAAAUCUGGCAGUCUCUGGCUGUCCGAGUUGUAAUCUAGAGAAGUGUUAUCCGCGUUGGACCGUGUACAAGUCUCCUGGAAUGGAGCGUCAUAGAGGGUGAGAAUCCCGUCUUUGACACGGACUGCCAAGGCUUUGUGAUGCGCUCUCAAAGAGUCGAGUUGUUUGGGAAUGCAGCUCAAAAUGGGUGGUAAAUUCCAUCUAAAGCUAAAUAUUGGCGAGAGACCGAUAGCGAACAAGUACCGUGAGGGAAAGAUGAAAAGAACUUUGGAAAGAGAGUUAAACAGUACGUGAAAUUGCUGAAAGGGAAACGCUUGAAGUCAGUCGCGUUGGCCAGGGAUCAACCUUGCUUUUGCUUGGUGUACUUUCUGGUCGACGGGUCAGCAUCAAUUUUGACUGUUGGAAAAAGAUCAGGGGAAUGUGGCAUCUUUGGAUGUGUUAUAGCCCUUGGUUGCAUACAAUGGUUGGGAUUGAGGAACUCAGCACGCCGCAAGGCCGGGUUUUACAACCACGUUCGUGCUUAGGAUGCUGGCAUAAUGGCUUUAAUCGACCCGUCUUGAAACACGGACCAAGGAGUCUAACAUGCCUGCGAGUGUUUGGGUGGAAAACCCGAGCGCGUAAUGAAAGUGAAGGUUGAGAUCCCUGUCGUGGGGAGCAUCGACGCCCGGACCAGACCUUUUGUGACGGAUCCGCGGUAGAGCAUGUAUGUUGGGACCCGAAAGAUGGUGAACUAUGCCUGAAUAGGGUGAAGCCAGAGGAAACUCUGGUGGAGGCUCGUAGCGAUUCUGACGUGCAAAUCGAUCGUCAAAUUUG